CAGGAAGCUCUUGUUGUCAUUGUGCCUAGAGUAAGGUGCCACAGCAAGAGGCCAAGGUGUCAGCUCCGGGGGACCCAUUCCCACCCCUCUCCCAGACUUCGGCCCACCGCCCGGGGGAGGCAGGCCUGAGGGUUGGAAGACUGGGCAACAGAACAAGAAAAGAAAAGAAAGAAGGAAGGAAUUGAACAGCCAUCUCGAGCUUGAACAACCACCCUGAUGAGUCAGCGGCCCAUCAGCAUCAAGGGCAAGAACCCCUGGAAAUGUGUGCCGCAUGAACAGAUGGCAGGACGCUGAGGCAGCCAGGUGCCUGCGUGAGUCUUCUCAGGUGUUGAGUUUGGACAGCGCCCCCGAUCUCCAACACAGCAGGUUUGCUGUCACCCAGACUGAAGUGGAGUGGCAUGGUCACAGCUCACUUUGGCCUCAAGCUGCUAAACUCCAGCGAUCCCCCUGCUUCAGCUUCCUGAGUAGCUGAGACCAGGUGAACCGACUAGAUGUUGAUACUGCUCUGCUACAAAGUGAAAGCUCCUAACUCAAACUUACUGGAAAAGGCGUGACGUCUGCAAAGUGCGCUUUAAGAAGAG
This is a long non-coding RNA of Callithrix jacchus (white-tufted-ear marmoset), 581 nucleotides long. RefSeq lists it as uncharacterized. Lineage: Eukaryota; Metazoa; Chordata; Mammalia; Primates; Cebidae. The record is from RefSeq and is a predicted model, not a curated record.